This 253-nucleotide ribosomal RNA is filed under the name uncultured bacterium. RNAcentral's name for it is "partial 16S ribosomal RNA". It matches the Rfam family "Bacterial small subunit ribosomal RNA", at positions 524 to 776 of the family's 1533-position model. The record is from RNAcentral.
UACGAAGGGGGCUAGCGUUGCUCGGAAUCACUGGGCGUAAAGCGCACGUAGGCGGACUCUUAAGUCGGUGGUGAAAUCCUGGAGCUCAACUCCAGAACUGCCUUUGAUACUGAGGAUCUUGAGUUCGGGAGAGGUGAGUGGAACUGCGAGUGUAGAGGUGAAAUUCGUAGAUAUUCGCAAGAACACCAGUGGCGAAGGCGGCUCACUGGCCCGAUACUGACGCUGAGGCACGAAAGCGUGGGGAGCAAACAGG